AGUGAACGCUGGCGGCGUGCUUAACACAUGCAAGUCGAACGAGAACGGGAUAUAGCUUGCUAUAUUUGUCAGCUAAGUGGCGCACGGGUGAGUAAUGUAUAGGUAAUAUGCCUCUUACUAAGGGAUAACAAUUGGAAACGAUUGCUAAUACCUUAUAUGCCUUUAAGACUAAAGUCUGCAAGGGAAAGAUUUAUUGGUAAGAGAUUAGCCUGUAUUGUAUCAGCUAGUUGGUGAGGUAAUGGCUCACCAAGGCUAUGACGCAUAACUGGUUUGAGAGGAUGACCAGUCACACUGGAACUGAGACACGGUCCAGACUCCUACGGGAGGCAGCAGUGGGGAAUAUUGCACAAUGGACGAAAGUUUGAUGCAGCAACGCCGCGUGGAGGAUGACACAUUUCGGUGCGUAAACUCCUUUUAUAUAGGAAGAUAAUGACGGUACUAUAUGAAUAAGCACCGGCUAACUCCGUGCCAGCAGCCGCAGUAA
This 484-nucleotide ribosomal RNA is filed under the name uncultured bacterium. RNAcentral's name for it is "partial 16S ribosomal RNA". It matches the Rfam family "Bacterial small subunit ribosomal RNA", at positions 29 to 523 of the family's 1533-position model. The record is from RNAcentral.